GACGAACGCUGGCGGCGUGCCUAAUACAUGUAAGUUGAGCGCUGAAGGUUGGUACUUGUACCAACUGGAUGAGCAGCGAACGGGUGAGUAACGCGUGGGGAAUCUGCCUUUGAGCGGGGGACAACAUUUGGAAACGAAUGCUAAUACCGCAUAAAAACUUUAAACACAAGUUUUAAGUUUGAAAGAUGCAAUUGCAUCACUCAAAGAUGAUCCCGCGUUGUAUUAGCUAGUUGGUGAGGUAAAGGCUCACCAAGGCGAUGAUACAUAGCCGACCUGAGAGGGUGAUCGGCCACAUUGGGACUGAGACACGGCCCAAACUCCUACGGGAGGCAGCGGUAGGGAAUCUUCGGCAAUGGACGAAAGUCUGACCGAGCAACGCCGCGUGAGUGAAGAAGGUUUUCGGAUCGUAAAACUCUGUUGGUAGAGAAGAACGUUGGUGAGAGUGGAAAGCUCAUCAAGUGACGGUAACUACCCAGAAAGGGACGGCUAACUACGUG
Molecule: ribosomal RNA, 497 nt
Filed under: uncultured bacterium
Lineage: Bacteria
Description: partial 16S ribosomal RNA
Rfam family: Bacterial small subunit ribosomal RNA
Source: RNAcentral